This is a non-coding RNA of Schistosoma curassoni, 45 nucleotides long. Lineage: Eukaryota; Metazoa; Platyhelminthes; Trematoda; Strigeidida; Schistosomatidae. The record is from Rfam.
ACCUUGCUGACGAGUGCCAACUAGCACGAAACCCGGGUUCAGGGU